RNAcentral lists this ribosomal RNA (477 nucleotides) under uncultured bacterium. RNAcentral's name for it is "bacterial SSU rRNA". It matches the Rfam family "Bacterial small subunit ribosomal RNA", at positions 29 to 516 of the family's 1533-position model. The record is from RNAcentral.
AGUGAACGCUGGCGGCGUGCUUAACACAUGCAAGUCGAACGAGAACGGAUUAUAGCUUGCUAUAAUUGUCAGCUAAGUGGCGCACGGGUGAGUAAUGUAUAGGUAAUAUGCCUCUUACUAAGGGAUAACAAAUGGAAACGUUUGCUAAUACCUUAUACCUCCUUAUUAACAGAAGUUAAUAAGGGAAAGAUUUAUUGGUAAGAGAUUAGCCUGUAUUGUAUCAGUUAGUUGGUGGGUAAUGGCUUACCAAGACUAUGACACAUAACUGGUUUGAGAGGAUGAUCAGUCACACUGGAACUGAGACACGGUCCAGACUCCUACGGGAGGCAGCAGUGGGGAAUAUUGCACAAUGGACGAGAGUCUGAUGCAGCAACGCCGCGUGGAGGAUGACACAUUUCGGUGCGUAAACUCCUUUGAUAUGAGAAGAUAAUGACGGUAUUAUAUGAAUAAGCACCGGCUAACUCCGUGCCAGCACGG